GGGAUCUGGGUGUUGGGUGCAUUAAUUAUUUUCAUUAAUUAGGUUGUAAAGAUUCUG
Molecule: transfer RNA, 57 nt
Filed under: Clavinema parasiluri
Lineage: Eukaryota; Metazoa; Nematoda; Chromadorea; Rhabditida; Philometridae
Description: tRNA-Glu
Source: RNAcentral